This 121-nucleotide small nucleolar RNA is filed under the name Echinops telfairi (small Madagascar hedgehog). Its description in RNAcentral is "Small nucleolar RNA SNORA61 (ENSETEG00000025071.1)". The record is from RNAcentral. Lineage: Eukaryota; Metazoa; Chordata; Mammalia; Afrosoricida; Tenrecidae.
GGCCUCCAGAUUCCUUAGCUCACAGAUCUAAAUAUUAGUCUGAGUGGCUGAAAAAGGAGGAAAAGUAAAGCUGAAGUAGAUUUGGCAUCUUUAAUGGCAUAGAAGUUCAUUUCAAACAUUA